This 680-nucleotide long non-coding RNA is filed under the name Homo sapiens (human). RNAcentral describes it as "non-protein coding lnc-HEATR4-9:1". The record is from RNAcentral. Lineage: Eukaryota; Metazoa; Chordata; Mammalia; Primates; Hominidae.
UUGGGGAGAUCUUCAAAGUUAUAAUAAGCUAGAGCCAACGUGGCAAAGCCAUGGCCAGCAAGGAGGCUGGCUCGAUAUUCCAAGAGGCCCCCUCCAAUACCAAAGAUGUCAAUGAUCCCUGGGAAGGGUCCAGGUCUGGCGGCAGGAAGAGCGUGGCGCGCACCCGGCCCGCUCGCACCGACUGGCGCCGCACCCCUGGCGGGAGGAAGUGGCGCUCGUGCUGCGCCUGGCACAGCAGCCGUCCAGGCUCGGGGUCGUGGCCGUCCAGCACCUCCAACUCCACGACAAAAGGAAUCUGUACGUCCCGCUUCAGGAAGCGCCAAAAAGGCUUCUCGGGUUCCAGGGCCCAGAGCAGCCCCAUGGGCUCGAGUCCCGCGAAGCUGCCGCCCAGCGCGGGUGCGCGCUCCAGGUCCAGCUCGCCGCGGGCGUCGGCGCAGUAGCGCGCGUGGGCCCGGAAGAGCGCGCCCUUCUCGUCGCGCAGGGACGCGCGCAGCGUAACCCGCUGCUCCGGGGCCAGGCCGCGCACGGCAAUGCGCACCGGCUCGUUCCAGCAGCAGCGGCCUGGGGGCUCCAGGAUCAGCGUUGCUGACAUCUUGGAGCCGGAGCGGGGAAUUCAAAGGUCGAGGCCCGAGACCCGUCCAAGAUCGUGGCAAGCGCGCCGAAUGUCCGGACGGCGUCCG